GAGCUCGGAGGAUCGAGCACGAGGGAUUUCCAGGAUUCGUGAGAUACCGAGAUACGCGAGGUGAGUCUUCUCACUAUACUUUACCUUGAGUAGGUAAUCAGAGCUAUGUGUUAGUGUAUGUAUGUUAUGUGUAUGCUAUGUGUUGUACUGCAUUAUUUCUAUGUGAUUUAUGCUGUGCAUGUUUACAGAGUUGGAACCGGAAGGUUCCUAGAGUUAGAACCUGAGGGUUCACAGAGUUUGGGUGCACGGACCCAUAGAGUUAUAGCCUCGAGUGGCUAAUAUGUGUUUUAUGUGUGGUAUUUUGGGGAACUCACUAAGCUUCGUGCUUACAGUGUUAGUGUUGUUGUUUCAGGUACUAGCGAUGACCGUGGGAAGGCGCCGGCUUGAUCCGUACACACUCAGGGGACUUUUGAUAUGUAUUUAUGAGAUCUUGGGAUUUGUAUGACAUGAUUUGGAAUUUUAAUCUUAACGUUUUAUGAAAUUAAAUGAGAAAUGUUUUUAUAUUUGCGAAAAAUUAUUUUGAAAAUUUACGGUGUUACAAGUUGGUAUCAGAGCCUUGGUUUGAGGGAUUCGAGUACACCUUCGGGCGUAUUUGAACUCAAACUGAGGAUUUGAGAUGUAUUUUCGAAAAAAGUAAAAGAUUUUUGAAAAACGCAGAGCAAGAGAUGUGUGUACGAUCAGUCAGCGCCCGAACGGUGAUUUCCCAAAAUACCUUUAUAUAUUAUGUGAUAUUGAUAUUGAUAUGAUGUAUCCGCAUGCUAGAGUAGGCUAGGUAUUGCUAUUAGGACUAGAGUGGCCUGAUUUGUGAUGCCUUAGCCUAGGGAGAGGUGAGCUGCUAUGAGAUGCUUGAGAGUGAGUAGGUAGCAGCGAGGGGCUUAUGAGAGAUCUAUUAGAGAGUGGUCUACGCAUGAUAGAGUACUUGGGACUUGGGAUCCGAAGAGGAGGACUUGGGGUGUAUUCUGGUGCGGUGCGGACAGUAGUAUUGGGCCCGUACUACUGGAAGCACCGGAGCGGUGUGCAGCCCAAGUAAGAAUCUUUGGAAUGCCAAGAAUCAAGGAGGAAAGAGUUGACGAGUGUGAGCAUACUCGUGUGGAUUCUAAUUUAUCGUAUGUUGUAUUUCAGAGGUAGAUCAUGGUGAGGACACGUUUGAUGCCCGAGAGCAGUGGUACCAGUGAGGAGGAGAUCCGCCGGAUCAUUCAGGAGGAGGUGGCUGCGGCCAUCAGGGCAGAGAUACCGGAGAUGUUUGGGUCUAUAAAGACCACAUUGAUUGAGACGUUUGAUGAGCGUUAUGCCGCUCUUUCUGAGGCUGCUGCUGCAGCGGCUACCGCAGCGAUUGCUGCUGCGAGGCCGCAGGGUGGGGAUGCGUUGCUGUUCCGUGAGUUCAGCAACACAAAACCACCAGAGUUUGAUGGUACUCAGGAUCCGGUGGCAGCUAUGAGGUGGAUAUCUGAUAUUGAGGGGUGUUUCUUCACUUGCUCGUCUCCUGAGCAUUUGAAGGUACGGUUCGCGCUGAACCAGCUUCGCUUGGGAGCGAAGGACUGGUGGAAGUUUGUGACGGCGCAUUAUUCGCCUGCUGAGCUUUCUGCGGUGACCUGGGAGAGGUUCACCACUAUGUUUCGGGAUGAGUACGUUCCCCAGGUGGAGAGGGAGCGUUUAGCACAGGAGUUUCUGACCCUCAAGCAGGGUACUGAGUCUGUUACAGCGAUCACGAGGAUGUUCCACGAGAGGGCGAUGUUCUGCCCUGAGCACGUGUCCACUGAGCAGGCACGUAUGAGCCGCUACUUGAGCAUCUUGAGGAGGGAUAUUCGGGAGUUCGCUGCGAACUCCUCGUACCGGACAUUUGCCGAGCUUCAGGCAAAUGCCCGGAAGAGGGAGAUUGAGCUUGAGACCCAGGCCAGGGAGGAGGCAGAGUCUCAGGGGAGGGAUCGGCGACCGGCGUUGUCGCAGCCGGCCGCCAAGCGGGCCAAGCCUGCUGAUCCCAGACCAGGGAGCCAGAAGGGCCGCACUUGCGGAAAGUGCGGCAAGGGUCAUGACGGAGUCUGCCGAGCAGGGUCUUGCUACAAAUGUGGCAAGGAGGGGCACAUGGCCAAGGACUGCCCCAAGGGGUUUGCAGUGUGCUUUCACUGCAACCAGACCGGACACCGGAAGGCCGAGUGUCCGCAGUUGCGCGGAGCAUCUCAGGGGUCUGCUCCUGCCGCCACCAGAGUUACAGAGAGUCGGCCUGUGAAGGCCGAGACGCCGAGAGCUCGAGGGAGAGCCUUCCAGCUGACUGCGGAGGAGGUCCGCGCUGCGCCCGAUGUUGUGGCUGGUAUGUUUCCUUUCGUGUAUUUAUUUUGACAUAUGAUGUUAUGCUUAUAUUAUGUUAUGUGUAGGUACUUUUCUUGUGAAUUCCGUACCUGCUUUAGUGUUAUUUGACUCGGGUGCGAGUCGGUCUUUUGUAUCUUUGGCCUUUAGCCAGCAUAUCAGUGCUAGUCGUGAGGCACUGAGUCGGCCUCUGAGAGUCUCCAUAGCUGAUGAUAGAGUGAUUUGUGCCACAGAGGUUUUCCGGGGAUGUGUGUUAGAGAUCUUCGGGAUUGAGUUUCCGAUUGAUCUGAUUCCUAUUGCGAUGGGUGAUGUUUGUGUCAUUGUGGGCAUGGACUGGUUGAGCCGAUUCGGCGCGAUUAUCGACUGUGAGCGUCAGCUGGUGACUAUACGAGACCCUAGUGGGGGAGUUCUUUCGGUGUACGGUGAGGGUACACGUUCGGGAUCAGCCUUUUGUUCGGCCGCCAGGGCGAGGCAGUGUCUACAGCAGGGCUGUAAGGGUUUUGUGGCGUAUGUGAUGGAUACGCGAGCGACUUCCGAGAGACCGAGUUCAGUUGGGGAGGUACCGGUGGUAUGUGAGUUUCCAGAUGUCUUUCCCGAGGAGCUGCCGGGAGUACCUCCUGUGAGGCAAGUAGAGUUUGGUAUUGAUUUGGUUCCGGGGGCUGCGCCUAUAGCUAAGGUGCCUUAUCGUCUUGCACCUCCAGAGAUGCAAGAGUUAUCCUCGCAGCUUCAGGAGUUGCUGGGGAAGGGAUUUAUUCGGCCGAGCAGCUCGCCGUGGGGAGCACCUAUUCUGUUUGUCAAGAAGAAGGAUGGUUCACACCGGAUGUGUAUUGAUUACCGGGAGUUGAACAAGCUGACGGUCAAGAACCGUUACCCGUUGCCGAGGAUCGACGAUUUAUUUGAUCAGUUGCAGGGAGCAUCUUGGUUUUCCAAGAUCGAUUUGAGGUCGGGAUAUCAUCAGGUGAGGGUGCGAGAUGAGGACGUCCAGAAGACAGCUUUCAGGACGCGUUAUGGGCAUUAUGAGUUUGUGGUGAUGCCUUUUGGGCUCACCAAUGCCCCGGCGGUGUUCAUGGAUCUCAUGAACAGGGUAUGUAGGCCGAUGUUGGAUCGGUCGGUGAUUGUAUUUAUCGAUGAUAUUCUGGUGUAUUCGAGAUCUAGGGAGCAGCAUGAGGAACAUUUGAGGGAGGUCCUUGGGGUACUGAGAUCGGAGAAGCUUUAUGCAAAGUUCUCCAAGUGUGAUUUCUGGUUACGGGAGGUCCAGUUCCUAGGACAUCUCGUUAACCAGGAAGGGAUUCUGGUCGAUCCGGCCAAGGUUGAGGCGGUGAUGGGUUGGGAGGUGCCAAAGUCACCCUCUGAGAUCAGGAGCUUCCUUGGAUUAGCAGGGUAUUAUCGGAGAUUUAUCAAGGAUUUCUCCAAGAUCGCAGUGCCGCUCACCAGGUUGACCCGGAAGGGUGUUGCAUUCUCAUGGGGUCCCGAGCAGCAGACCUCCUUUGAGACACUUCGCCAGAGGUUGUGCGAAGCCCCGGUAUUAGCUCUCCCGGAAGGGAUGGAGGAUUUUGUAGUAUAUUGUGAUGCAUCGAUUUUGGGGUUGGGUGCGGUGUUGAUGCAGAGGGGUCAUGUGAUAGCAUAUGCAUCGAGGCAGCUGAAGCCUCAUGAGACGAGAUAUCCCACGCAUGAUCUAGAGUUGGGGGCAGUAGUGUUCGCCCUCAAGAUUUGGCGCCACUACUUAUAUGGGGUUCGAUGUACGAUAUACACGGACCAUAAGAGCUUGAAGUACUUGAUGGAUCAGCCCAAUCUAAACAUGCGUCAGAGGAGGUGGUUAGAUGUGGUCAAGGAUUAUGAUUGUGAGAUCCUGUACCACCCGGGCAAGGCCAACGUGGUGGCCGAUGCGUUGAGCCGCAGGGCGGAGAGCACUCCAUUGCGAGAUGUAUGUUUGAGAUUGACCAUGAUAGCUCCGGUAUUGGAUGCCAUUCGUGGGGCACAGGCCGAGGCUGUGCAGCCGGAGAUGCAGAAGAGGGAACGGGUCGUUGGUUUGGUUUCAGAAUUCGUUACGGAUGGGCGAGGGCUUAUGACUUUUCAGGGUCGGAUUUGGGUACCGUUCGUGGGUGGUACGCGCACUUCCUUGAUGGAGGAGGCUCAUCGGUCGAAAUUUUCGAUCCAUCCGGGGGCUACGAAGAUGUAUUUGGAUUUGAGGAGAGAGUAUUGGUGGCCCUGUAUGAAGAGGGACGUCGCAUGGUUCGUUGAGAGGUGCUUGACCUGUCGUAGGGUUAAGGCCGAGCACCAGAGACCACAUGGCAAGUUGCAGCCAUUGGAGGUUCCCGAAUGGAAAUGGGAACAGAUCACUAUGGAUUUCAUCACCAAAUUGCCGAGAACUGCCAGGGGAGUUGAUGCAAUUUGGGUGAUUGUGGAUAGGUUGACGAAGAGCGCUCACUUCCUUGCCAUCAGUGAGAGUUCUUCAGCAGAGAAGUUGGCAGAGUUAUAUGUGAGAGAAGUGGUAUCUCGGCAUGGGGUGCCGAUCUCGAUUGUUUCAGACCGUGAUGUGCGCUUUACUUCCAGAUUCUGGAAGAAAUUUCAUGAGGAGUUGGGUACUAGAUUGCAUUUUAGUACCGCAUAUCAUCCCCAGACAGACGGUCAGAGUGAGCGGACGAUUCAGACGCUUGAGGACAUGCUUCGAGCAUGUGUGUUGGAUUUUGGGGGUAGCUGGGAUGCGUAUCUACCCUUGGCAGAGUUUUCCUACAACAACAGCCAUCAUUCGAGCAUUGGUAUGCCACCCUUUGAGCUGUUGUAUGGUAGGAGGUGUCGGACCCCCAUUUGCUGGGGAGAGGUCGGGCAGAGAGUGAUGGGCAGUACCGAGAUCGUGCUUCAGACGACAGAGCAGAUUCAGCAGGUCAGACAGAGGUUGUUGACCGCCCAGAGUCGACAGAAGAGUUAUGCAGACAGACGCCGGUCCGAGCUUGAGUUUCAGGUCGGCGACUUCGUUCUCCUGAAGGUCUCUCCUUGGAAAGGAGUGAUUCGAUUCAGGAAGAGGGGCAAGUUGGGGCCCCGGUAUAUUGGGCCAUUUCGUGUGAUUGCGAGGGUAGGCCGGGUAGCCUAUCGUUUGGAAUUGCCAGCAGAGUUGGGGCAAAUCCACGACACUUUUCAUGUGUCGCAAUUGAGGAAAUGUAUUGCCGAUGAGUCGGCAGUAGUUCCAUUAGAGGAUAUUCAGGUGGAUGCGAGCCUGAAUUAUGCCGAGAGACCAGUAGCCAUCAGAGAUCGGAAGAUCAAGGUUCUGAGGAACAAGGAGGUACCUUUGGUGUUGGUUCAGUGGCAACACCGGAAGGGAUCAGAGAUGACCUGGGAGCCGGAGCGCGAGAUGCGGGCUCAGCAUCCGGAGCUAUUUUAGAGCGAGACUUCGAGGGCGAAGUCUAAUCCUAGUGGGGGAGAAUUGUAACAGCCCGGAUCUCCAGGUAUUUUAUUGUUUUAAUAUUUUGAGUUUUGAGAAGGGACUCGGCGAGUUGGAGCUCAGACUCGCCGAGUAGGGUCGCGAUUCUGGACGCGGGAUUCGUUCGGACUCGGCGAGUCCAGGAUAUGGACUCGGCGAGUCCACGCUGUUUAAUGAAACCCUAAUUUCUCGGGUUUGGGACCUAUUUAAAUGGCCUUAUGGCCGUCAUUUGCAUCCAUCAGUCCAUAGAGAGAAACCCUAAAAGUGCUUUAGCGAUUUGAGAGUGAAAGGAGGCAUUUCUUGACAUUUGUGUGUUGUUUAGCAAAGAAGAAGGAGGCUCUAGCCAAGAGGAGGCAAAGGGGACUGCUAUUUGGUGGAUUGGAAGCUUGACCCUUCAAUCUAAAGGUAUAAUUUCGACUCAUCUCCUGUUUUGUGAAGUAUAACCGAUUUUAGGGUUUCUUGUGGCCUUGUUGAGUUGAUUUGAUGGCCAAAUAGUCCCAUGCUAGUGAUGAGACUUCGGAUCUGGAUCCAUAGAGGUCCAGAGAGUCUCAUUCUUCAAGCUUUAUAGAGAACAAUGGAGGUCAUGACCUUGUGUAGUGAGAUUUGUUGAAGAUUCUUCAUAAUUAGUCAUAUAGAGGUUGUUAAUGCAUCAAGACUAGGACUUUACGUGAUGAAUCAGUCUAGGAGGGCCAGAUCUAUGAAUUGUUGGAGUAGAUCUGACCUUAGAAGCAAGUUUGAGUGAUUGCAUGGAAUGGACUCGCCGAGUCCGAUGAGCAGACUCGGCGAGUAGCUUGAAGAUUGCCCUUAGAUCGGCCAGUGAGUGGUCCAGUCGAGUCAUGGGUUGACUCAGUGAGUCAGGGCGAGUUAGGAAGGGUGGUCAGUGGACUGAGUCGAACUGGGACUCGCCGAGUUGUUCUUGGAACUCGGCGAGUUGAGUCGGGGUGGCCCCGCGAUUCUGCCAGGUGGAACUCGACGAGUCAGGGGGAGCACUCGAAGUGUAAAAAGGGAAUUCUAGAGAGUUGGUGAAAACGUCUAGACUCGCCGAGUUGCCCUUGUGCACUCGCCGAGUCCGGUCAAAGUAGACCGUUGACCGUUGUCCAGAGUUGACCUGUGUUGACUUCUUAGGGAUAGUCAACCUUAGAGAUAAAAAGUGUUAAUUAGAGUCAUGUGAUGUUAUAGGAGGAUUAGAGCUCGGAGGAUCGAGCACGAGGGAUUUCCAGGAUUCGUGAGAUACUGAGAUACGCGAGGUGAGUCUUCUCACUAUACUUUACCUUGAGUAGGUAACCAGAGCUAUGUGUUAGUGUAUGUAUGUUAUGUGUAUGCUAUGUGUUGUACUGCAUUAUUUCUAUGUGAUUUAUGCUGUGCAUGUUUACAGAGUUGGAACCGGAAGGUUCCUAGAGUUAGAACCUGAGGGUUCACAGAGUUUGGGUGCACGGACCCAUAGAGUUAUAGCCUCGAGUGGCUAAUAUGUGUUUUAUGUGUGGUAUUUUGGGGAACUCACUAAGCUUCGUGCUUACAGUGUUAGUGUUGUUGUUUCAGGUACUAGCGAUGACCGUGGAAAGGCGCCGGCUUGAUCCGUACACACUCAGGGGACUUUUGAUAUAUAUUUAUGUGAUCUUGGGAUUUGUAUGAUACGAAUUAGAAUUUUAAACUUAACGUUUUGUGAAAUUA
RNAcentral lists this long non-coding RNA (7393 nucleotides) under Lactuca sativa (garden lettuce). Its description in RNAcentral is "long non-coding RNA (LSAT_LNC007240)". Lineage: Eukaryota; Viridiplantae; Streptophyta; Magnoliopsida; Asterales; Asteraceae. The record is from RNAcentral.